This 275-nucleotide long non-coding RNA is filed under the name Linum usitatissimum (flax). RNAcentral describes it as "long non-coding RNA (LUSI_LNC003593)". The record is from RNAcentral. Lineage: Eukaryota; Viridiplantae; Streptophyta; Magnoliopsida; Malpighiales; Linaceae.
GGGGAGUUAAGUAGAGAGUUGUUGUCUGGUCUGUUUAUAUAUUUUUGAUUCUGGGCAUGUUUUUGGGCAGUUUUACUGGGUGUUCCAUUUUUGCUUCAAUUUUUUUGUUUUUUGACAGUUUUUUUUUGUUUUUUUCUGCCUUGCGUUUUGGCCUUGAUUUUUUUGUUCGGGCCAAGCAAAGUCCAUUUUCCUUUCCCUAUACAUGUUUACAUGUAAAUACUCUUGGUUAGAUAUGUGAAAUAGGAACCAUUUUAGAGUCACAUGGAUAGAUGGUG